UACGUAGGGGGCAAGCGUUGUCCGGAAUCAUUGGGCGUAAAGAGCGUGUAGGCGGCCCGAUAAGUCCGCUGUGAAAGUCGGGGGCUCAACCCUCGAAUGCCGGUGGAUACUGUCGGGCUAGAGUGCGGAAGAGGCGAGUGGAAUUCCUGGUGUAGCGGUGAAAUGCGCAGAUAUCAGGAGGAACACCGGUGGCGAAGGCGGGUCUCUGGGCCGAUACUGACGCUGAGGAGCGAAAGCGUGGGGAGCGAACAGG
Molecule: ribosomal RNA, 253 nt
Filed under: uncultured bacterium
Lineage: Bacteria
Description: partial 16S ribosomal RNA
Rfam family: Bacterial small subunit ribosomal RNA
Source: RNAcentral